GUGCAUCGAACGGUGGGCAUGCUAUCCUUUUUGUUGUCACCAAGUGCCAUGUAGCAUUUUGGUGUUUCCUUUUCGAGUUCCUGUGUUGCCUACCUUUGAAAUGGUAUUUGAAUGGUUUGGAAUAUUUUUUCCAUCCAGAUCUCUGUGGGAUGAUGGUGGAUUUUGAUGCAACGCAUGUGUUCCCCAUUAGGUUUGCAUUAUGCAUCUUUUGUGGGUACGUAUGCUGUUGUUGUCCUUUUGGAUGCAAUGCAUGCAAUGAACGUCGGUUUAACUGUCCCGUUUAGUUCCUAAAUUUUUGGUUGCCUUCGAAUGACAUUUGCCUUGGUGCAUGUUUUGUUUUCCUCUUAAGGUCACAACACUUGCACCUUGCGCAUGGUCAUUAAUGGGUGCUA
RNAcentral lists this unclassified non-coding RNA (392 nucleotides) under Cleobulia crassistyla. Its description in RNAcentral is "partial external transcribed spacer". Lineage: Eukaryota; Viridiplantae; Streptophyta; Magnoliopsida; Fabales; Fabaceae. The record is from RNAcentral.